This 734-nucleotide long non-coding RNA is filed under the name Ananas comosus (pineapple). RNAcentral's name for it is "long non-coding RNA (ACOM_LNC039121)". Lineage: Eukaryota; Viridiplantae; Streptophyta; Magnoliopsida; Poales; Bromeliaceae. The record is from RNAcentral.
AUAGAGAGAGAGAGAGAGAGAGAGUUGAGCUAGAAUAUUCUCAAAAGCACCAAGGGGGUGGUGCUUUUGAAUUUUUAACCAUUGGAUGGAGAGAUGUAGGGUUGAGAUGAUGGUGGUAGGUGGUGGUAGGUGAAAUAGUGUUUGAUCCAAGGGGUAUUAGUAAUUAAGGAGUAGAUCCAAGGGCUAGAAACUUAGAAGCACCAAGGGGUUGGUGCUUCUAAAAGUAUUCUAGCUCAAUUCUAUAUAUAUAUAUCUAUAGAGUCCAGCUACUAUGCUAUUAAUAGCACGAAGCACUUGAUGCUACUAAGUUUUCCGCCGUUAGAUCUACCCUUUGGAUCAUUUUCACCCGUUAGAUCAUACUAUUCAACCAACCACCCACUCAACCCUAGGGGCCCAUAUCAUCCUAACCAUACAUCUCUUAAUCCAAUAGCCAAAAACUUGGUAGCACCAAUGACUUGGUGCGAUUAAUAGCAUAGUAGCCUAGUUCUAUAUAUAUAUAUAUAUAGAAUUGAGCUCCUAUGCUUUCAAAAGUACCAAGUUAUUGGUGCUUGUAGAUUUUUAGCCAUUGGAUUAAAAGAUAUGCGGUUAAGAUGAUGUGGGCCCCCUAGGGUUUAGUGGGUGGUUGGUUGAAUAGUAUAAUCUAAUGGUUGAAAAUGAUCCGAGGAGUAGAUCUAACGGUAAAAAACUUACAAGCACCAAGUGUUUGGUACUUUUACAAGCACCAUAGCUGGACU